UUGCUUUUUUCUUUUCGCCGGUAGACAGUCGUACAGGUACCGUAAGUCGUAACAGGCCCCCGUAAGUCGUAACAAGGUAUCCAAGUCGUAACAAGGUUGCCAAGUCGUAACAAGGUUACCAAGUCGUAACAAGGUAGAGUUCGAUCUACGUUCACAAGGACCUUGGUCCUUGUCGGGAAAGCCGGCCUCUCCAUGAAAUCUGGCCCUGAAAGAAAACCCCCCGCCCCAUCGGCUAUUGGGUAGGGAAAGGGCCUACCAGGGCAAAGACGGGUAGCUGGGCUGAAAGGACAACCAGCCACACUGGGACUGAUACACGGCCCAGACUCCUACGGGAGGCAGCAUUGGGAAAUUUCGGACAAUGGGCAAAAGCCUGAUCCAGCAAUGCCUCGGGUGUGAGGAAGGCCUCCGGGUUGUAAAGCACUUUUGUCCGGAAAAAAAUGGUUCUGGUUAAUACCUGGGUUCGAUGACGGUACCGGAAGAAUAAGGACCGGCUAACUACGCGCCAGCACCCGCGGAAAUACGUAGGGUCCAAGCGUUAAUCGAAAUUACGGGGCGUAAAGGGUGCCCAGGCGGUUGUGCAAUACCGAUGUGAAAUCCCCGAGCUUAACUUGGGAAUUGCCUUGGUGACUGCCCGGCUAUUUUGUGUCAAAGGGGGGUAGAAUUCCCCGUGUAUCAGUGAAUUGCAAAGAGAUGUGAAGGAAUACCGAUGGCGAAGGCAGCCCCCUGGGAUAACACUGACCCUCAUGCACGAAAGCCUGCGGAGCAAACAGGAUUAGAUACUCUGGUAGUCCACGCCCUAAACGAUGUCUACUAGUUGUUGGGGAUCCAUUUCCUUAGUAACGUAGCUAACGCGUGAAGUUUACCGCCUGGGGGAGUACGGUCUCAAGAUUAAAACUCAAAGGAAUGGACGGGGACCCGCACAAGUGGUGGAUGAUGGGAAUUAAUUCGAUCCACCCAAAGACGUUACCUACCCUUGACUUGCACUACGAAGCAAACAUGCCUUAGGUUGUCAUACAUAAGUGAACACAAGAUGCUGCAUGGCUGUCCGUCAACUCGUGUCAUGAGAUGUUGGCUAAGUCCCGCCACCGAGCGCACCUUGAUCUCUAGUUGCAUGCCAAGAGCAACCUCUAAACAGAUACUGGCCGGUUAUUAU
Molecule: ribosomal RNA, 1153 nt
Filed under: uncultured bacterium
Lineage: Bacteria
Description: bacterial SSU rRNA
Rfam family: Bacterial small subunit ribosomal RNA
Source: RNAcentral